UAGAGUUCCGCGAGUUCUGCCGUAGCAGCAAUCCAUAGCUGAACUAUAAGGCAAAUUUUAAAAAGACGGAUCGGGUUAUAGAGCGAUUGCAAUGAAAUACAAAGUUACGAUUGAGACUGCCAUCGCUGCUACCAAAUAUGCAAUCCUUCCAAUUUGUUGCUGGCCACCCCCGAUUGGAGCGAAUAAAUGGGCUGUCCGACGGCAUAAUAUUUGUGGUUGGUUAGCAAUAGUUCUCCUGGUAAUCAACGUGCUUUCUAUCAUUUACAAUAUCUACUUGAACAGAAAUGAUAUCGACAGAUGCAUAAAAAUUUUGGCAGAAAUGGGAGCCCUUAUGUCGACAUGCAUGAAAAUACUAAUCUGCAAGAAAGAACGACUUCGUCUUCAGGUUUUGGUAGCUGAAAUGGAGAAUUUCAUAAAGCAAGCUACUGGCGAGGAAAAAGAAUUAAUUCAGGCCUACGUCGAUAGAUGUUUCGUUUUACACACGACUGUUUUUGUCAGCUGUAUCCUCGGCCCAAUAUUUUUCAUCGCUGGCCCUAUUUUCCAGCCACAACCAUUUCCGGGUGAUGUUGCUUACCCAUUCGAGGUGAACUCAACUUGGCUGUGGCUCUGCAUGUAUGUUAUGCAGAGUAUUUCCAUCUUCCAAGUUGGAAGCAUGGUCAUGAUAGACAUUUUGUAUGCCAUGUUAUUGUGGUACACAGGCCUAAGGUUUGAGUUGCUAAAUCUGGAGUUCCAAAAAGUAACUAACACGAACGAAUUACGCGGCUGUGUAGGGAAGUAUCAAAAAUUAAUAAGGUUGAUUUUAUUUCAGAUAUACGGAGAAUUUGACGGCCAGUACUCGUAUUAUAGCCGUAGAAAUUACGAGCAUCGCCAUGUUUGCCGUCACAACCGGAGGUUUCGUAAUUAUUCGGCGCCCGGGUAAAUACGACGUGGUAAAGUUCAUUUUCUUUGAGUUAGUAUCGGCAAUGGAGCUUCUUUUAUUUUCAUGGCCUGCGGACCAUUUGAUCAAAGUGAGCGAAGAAGUAGGCGCCUCUGUUUUCAACAGCGAUUGGAUCGGCA
RNAcentral lists this unclassified non-coding RNA (1056 nucleotides) under Neodiprion lecontei (redheaded pine sawfly). RNAcentral describes it as "odorant receptor 67a-like, transcript variant X3". The record is from RNAcentral. Lineage: Eukaryota; Metazoa; Arthropoda; Insecta; Hymenoptera; Diprionidae.